UUGCUGAAAUACUCUGGCGAUUAUGUC
This 27-nucleotide non-coding RNA is filed under the name Bombyx mori (domestic silkworm). The record is from RNAcentral. Lineage: Eukaryota; Metazoa; Arthropoda; Insecta; Lepidoptera; Bombycidae.